UUUGCUUUGAUGAGAUGGCUCAAUGUAUGCUUUGCACUUUUCUAGCCACUGGAGCCGUCACACACCUAAAGGCAGUGCCCUUGAAUCUAACUGGAAUGCAACGUUAGCAUAUGAAAAGAAGUAUCCAGAGGAAGCUGCAGAGUUGAAAUGUGAAUUACCUGCUGGCUGGGAGAAGGCACUACCAGUAAGUUAAACUCUCAGCUUACAAUCCAGUUGCUAUAUUCUAGAUAUGUAGGUUUACAACAUCUUUUGUCUUUUUACAGACAUACACACCAG
RNAcentral lists this long non-coding RNA (276 nucleotides) under Brassica napus (rape). RNAcentral describes it as "long non-coding RNA (BNAP_LNC006119)". Lineage: Eukaryota; Viridiplantae; Streptophyta; Magnoliopsida; Brassicales; Brassicaceae. The record is from RNAcentral.